This 392-nucleotide ribosomal RNA is filed under the name uncultured bacterium. RNAcentral describes it as "bacterial SSU rRNA". It matches the Rfam family "Bacterial small subunit ribosomal RNA", at positions 429 to 793 of the family's 1533-position model. The record is from RNAcentral.
UUACUUUACAGCAGUGAGGAAGGUGGGUAUGUUAAUAGCAUAUUCAUUUGACGUUAGCUGCAGAAGAAGCACCGGCUAACUCCGUGCCAGCAGCCGACGGUAAUACGGGAGGGUGACGAGUACGUUAAUACGGAAUUACGUGGGACGUAAAGCGCAUGCAGGUGGUUUAGUUAAGUCAGAUGUAGAAACGGCCCGGGGCUACCAACCGUACGGUAAUUGCUAUUUAGAAACGUGGACAAACUAGAGUACUGUAGAGGGGGUAGAAUUUCAGGUGUAGCGGUGAAAUGCGUAGAGAUCUGAAGGAAUACCGGUGGCGAAGGCGGCCCCCUGGACAGAUACUGACACUCAGAUGCGAAAGCGUGGGGAGCAAACAGGAUUAGAUACCCUGGUAG